RNAcentral lists this ribosomal RNA (251 nucleotides) under uncultured prokaryote. RNAcentral's name for it is "partial 16S rRNA". It matches the Rfam family "Bacterial small subunit ribosomal RNA", at positions 525 to 775 of the family's 1533-position model. The record is from RNAcentral.
ACGGAGGGUGCAAGCGUUAUUCGGAAUUACUGGGCGUAAAGCGCACGCAGGCGGUUUGUUAAGUCAGAUGUGAAAGCCCCCGGCUCAACCGUGGAACUGCCACUGAUACUGGCAGGCUUGAGUCUCGUAGAGGGAGCUAGAAUGCCACGUGUAGCGGUGAAAUGCGUAGAGAUCUCGCAGAACACCAGCGGCGAAGGCGGGUUACUGGCCGAUUACUGACGCUGAGGCGCGAAAGCGUGGGGAUCAAACAG